UGGAGGACAAGGCAUGUAGAGCAGGAAAUAAGCACAAUACGGGUAAAAUGAGACAAUGUCAGAAUAGGACACCUUGGUUGAAAGAAAAUGUAUUUGUGGAAGAAAAAAGAACCUUCUGGGAGAUUCUGAAGUCUAGUGGUUGGGUGACGAGGCUGAGGCAGGAGAAUGGCUUGAACCUGGGAGGCAGAGCUUGCAGUGAGUUAUUGUUAUUGCUGUCAUAACGAUGAGCACUUCACAACAGCUGUCACCACCAGAUGCAGCAGCAAUUGCAUGGAAUCAUAACUUAAAAAAUUAACAACCAGAUUUCUGAAGUUAGAGUUCUUAGUUUCAAAUCUUGUCUGCAUCAAAAUUGCUCUGUGACUUUGGGAAAGUUUAACCACUGAUUUCUACCUUGAAGAAAAAAAUGAGUAUAAUAAUAUCUAUCUCGUAAAAUGGUGGUGAAGAUCACAUGGGAUAAUGCAAAUGAAGUUUGUAUCUUAUUGCCUGAUACAUAAAGUAUAUUCAAUAAAUAUUUGCCAUUAUGAUUACCAUUAUAAUUAUACAAUUUAGAAAACUCACAACAAAUCCCACUGCUGAAUAACUGAAACAGUCAUUAUUUCAUGUAAAAAUUAUUGCCCACGGAAGGUCCUAUCUUCUUCAUUGUCCAAAGAAUAUAUUACAUUAAAUAUGGCUUUCAUUGUAAUUAUUAAAAAUAGUUUAUAUUUAUUCAUAUCUAGGUUUUCAUCAAAGUUAUGCAUACUACUGAAUACUACACUGAAAGAACCACUAAGUACUACAAGACUUAUUACAUAGAACAGGAGUCAUCUAUCCACUUUUCCUCCUAAUUUCACAAUCUCUAGAGGGAACAGUUUUCAACUACACACAGUCCUCACAUAGUGUGACAGUGCCUGACCAUAAGAGUGACUGUGAAAUGGGACAUUG
This 921-nucleotide long non-coding RNA is filed under the name Homo sapiens (human). Its description in RNAcentral is "HSALNT0186199". Lineage: Eukaryota; Metazoa; Chordata; Mammalia; Primates; Hominidae. The record is from RNAcentral.